Molecule: long non-coding RNA, 7098 nt
Organism: Pipra filicauda (Wire-tailed manakin)
Lineage: Eukaryota; Metazoa; Chordata; Aves; Passeriformes; Pipridae
Exons: 4
Source: RefSeq, a predicted model, not a curated record
AGGGCAGAGCCGGGGAGGGGAGCACCUGCCCCGCGGGGUGCCCCACCUGCCCCAGGUGUGCCCCUCGGGUGGUUCCUCUGCGCCGGCACCGGUGGCCAGCACGCUGUGGGGGUCGUGGCCCACCCGACUGCUCCACCUGGAUGUUCAGCCUACCGACACGGGACCGCGGUGACACUGGCCCUAUAGGUCAGCACUUGUAGGUCUCAUCACUAUAACUGAAAGGAUUCAAACUCGAUGCAGAUUUCCCAAAGUUCAGAAGAGGAGGUUGGGUACUUGGCCACUGCCUGCCUGACAUAGCCCACGGGGGAAGUCUUGACCCAGCCUUUGAAAUGGACACAGAGGCUUUGUUAGGGCACAUCAUAAAAGGAUAUAAAAUUGAAGGAGCUUGUACCUAAAAACCUGGUUACUUAACAUCUUUGUAAUCAAACACAGGUAAUUAAGUGGCACCAUGUGGUUCAAUAACAAUGUUCUGUUUAAAACCAGAAAAAGAUAAUGGCAUCAAAUCAGACAUAUGUUUCCAAUGAGGAAAGGACCCGGUUGCUUCUUGCUCAUCCCCAGACAGUUAUUGUGCCUCACUGCCAGACUUGGAUACCUCAGCAGUUUAUCUACCCAGAAAGAUGAAGGUGUGAUUAUCACAUAAUAAGCUUACUCAUGCUCGCUCUGCUCUUGCUGGCACAUGCACAGCAGUUACUAUGCAAUGACAGUCUUCUCUGCAACAACCCAAGUGCAACUUCUCUUCAGCCUGGGGUCCCAUUGCAGCCAGUGCUGCUGUGCCCCCACCACUACAGCCACGUGUGCUGGUCGGGGCAAAGCUGCCAUGGAAAGAGAGUUAUGCUGCGGCCCUGGCUCGGUGUGCUCUGUCCCCUCACCUGUGCUAUCAGCACAGGAUGUGCAGCAAUUCCUGCACAAGGUGCCCUCCAUCCACCCUCAGGAUGACAGAGAGGAGAAGAGAAUGGCCCCUUUGCCCCUUCCCUGCUUUGGAGCUUGGCAGCAGCUGUCGUGGUGGCUAAAUGGGCUGUUGAAGGGGUUCAUGGCAGGGACGUUUGUCAAGCACCAAUUUUCCAUUCAAACCUGCAGUGUCAUUUCAGUUCCUAAUUAUAGCCAAGGUACUUUUUGGGGUUUUGUUGUGGGCUGUUUUUUACUUUAGAACAGGCUGCUCCUGUUUGAUAUUAGCAAUGCAGAAUCACUACUCAUGGCUGGAUGAACACAAGCCCUGGCUUUCCCUACUGCACCUGCUUGCUGAAGCCAUGGCUCCUACAUUGGUCCUUCUGCCAGGAAGCUCAGAGGUAGCAGGAGGCUGAAAUGAACAGUUCCCAAUAGCUCUCUGUCUUGGGAAGUUAAUUCCAUCAGGAUGUAACAUUGCUUGUAGAGGAGCUGCUGAUUUUGGAGUUGCAGCUGGUGCUGACAAGGCAUUGCUGUGAGGAAGUCCACACAGAUAAGAUGUUUGUCUAGUCUGACUAACACUGCCCUCACCCUCCUUGGGGUCUUUUGAGCUAUUCCUGAGGACUGUAGUGACACUGCUGCCUACAGGUGGGUUGUAGCUCCAUGCCUCAAUCAACUGAGCGCUGCAGAAUUUGGAGCAUAUGCCUCAUUAGUGAGAAGGGACUCACUAGUGCAGGUGUGAUUCAUCACUUUGGAGAGCACGUCAGGGAUCAGGGCAUGAAACGGCUUGACUAACAGAGGUAAUAACAGGGCAGGCAGGGGCCAUGUUACAGAACCGAGCAACAAAACAGCAGCAGCAGCUGAAAGAACUGUGUAGUGGGACAGAGUGAGAGCACAAAGCAGAAACCUGGCUGUCCACAACACCUGUAUCUGGGUUUCAGCUGGGAACAAACUCAUGCUGUUCAGAGAAUCUGGAUUAUAUCCUUCUCACAAAUUCCUUUUGGAGGUUCUUCGUGUAUGUCUUUUUCUAGACAAAUUAGUCUUGGGAUCACAGUGGCUGCGUGGCAUCCACUGCAUACUAAAGAGCUAUUCUGGAGCCAAAUGCCAGGGAACAACAGUGCCCGGCUGCAGAGAGAAGCACAUAAUUCCAGCACGGCUGAGCAGCGAGAUGUGCGGGGACAUCUCUCCAGAGAGAGCGUGGCUCCUCUUCCAUCUGGCAGCACAAAAGAGGACAGGCCUGAAUCCUCAAGACACGAAGAUUAUAUUAUGUAACGUGCACGCUCGCUGCUUCCUGAGACAGAGCUGAGUUAAACUACCCGUGUGAUUCAGUCCGAGGCCAAGCCAGAGGGGAGCUGCAUUUCCCUCCCUGAACCUGGGGGAUUCUGGAGCAAAUGACCUGAACUCUCCUUUGUAAGACCAAAGCUUUUCACAAGCCCAUGCAGAUGUUUUACAAGCACAAUAAACUGCAUAUGUGAUGGAGUCAUCUCUUUCUGAAAUGUGAUCUGGACCACAGGAUUAUGGCUGCUUUUCAGAGAGACAGGUGGACUCUUCAGCUGCAUUAAAAAGGAUCCCUGAUUAUCAGUGCUGUUGCAGGAAAGCAAUUCCUUGGUUCCUUGGUGUGAUUUCCUGAACUUGCAUAGGACACCAGUGUUCCCGUAUCAGUGAGUAACAACAUGAAUCUCACCUCCCCACUUUUCCCUGUGCAGAAGGAACAGGCUCCUCAGCGUCUUUUCUCUCACCCAUUAGAAGAGAUCCAGCUGCAUUGCUAUUGAUCCCUACACUCCUUAGCCUCUCUGUGGAAUCCAGCCUUUACAAAGGCUGUGCAACUGCAGGUUAAUUGUGUCUCAAGGGUGUAUCUGGGCUGUGCCCAAGUGCUGCCCCCAGCUCUGUGUUGUGCGAUGGCUGAGAAAGAAAAUCACAGAGGUCAAAGCCCUUGGUAACAUUGUCAAAGCCCUGCCUUCCCUUCAUGAUGGGAGAAGGACAGAACAGGUAAACUCCUGAAGUUUCAUGACUUUCUUGGCAUUCUAGAAUUCUUUUAUUCUCACUAAUAAGUGUUAUUUAUCAAUUCAGAAACUUAACACUUUGAGGUCAGUGCAGGUUAUUUUAUCCAUUGCUGUAGUCCUGUUACUUGCCACUUGGAUGCAGAGACAGCAGCCAGUACAAGAUACAGGACAUAGAGAAAUGUCUCAAUACACAGGAAAGCAAAUUCCUUGCUCGUUUGCGAAGUACAAUUGCAAUUACGUCAAGAGAUAUGUCCAGUGUACCCAGAGGGAGUCCUAAUAAUGCAAGGGAAUGCCAAUGGCAAAGCCCACAGUGACAGUUCCAAAACUAAGAGAGUGGUGGUUGUCAUACUUAAGAACAAUACGGGGUUUUUUUUAUGAGCAACAAAAUAGUUUAAAAAAAGAAAAUGAGGUAUACAUGAGGCAAGAGCCUUAGUGAGGGCUGAGGUCCUAAUGGGAGCAAGGAAAAUGCUGAUGAAAUACAAUUUCUUGCUUUAAAUAUUUGUAAACAAAGAUCCCAAAAUAGCCUUUCAGAAAUGAAGAAAAAAAAUCCUGAUAAAACAAUUCCACCAACAGGUGUCCAAAUUGUCCCAAGACUGUAAGCAAUCCUCUGGUGCCACACACAGCAAACUUGGAAAUUAAAGAUAUUGAAACCAGUGGGAAUGCAAUAGCUACUGCUAAGAAAGGAUGAGAAUUUUCACAGAGAAGCUGCUACUACCUGGAAAGGGCUGCCAUUUACAACCAUCAAACAAGAAAUGAGAGGGAAAGCAUCCCCAAAAGUGGUUCCUUCUGUUGAAAUGGUGUUUGCAGGAUCCUGUCUACAUCCUUUCUCACCUGAGACCAGAUAUCUCUCCAACAUCCAGGUUUGUUUCAUCCUCAUCGAUGUCCUUCUUUGGCUGCUCUGAACAUGGGGAAUUCCAGCUCCUAAAGACAAAAGUGAAGGAGCAAUUAGCCCAAAUACAUUGGUGGGUUCUGUCUUUUAGACUAGGAUUAUUCAAAGUAUUAUGUACAUUCCUUAGAAAAGCAGGCCUUUUUAAGGCCCAGGAGGCUUUCUGCCAAACUCCCCAGAAAUUUAUACAGACCUUCCUUAAAUAUCCCAAGGGAGGAUGUUUUAUGUUAUCUCUCAGCUUGUGUAGCUUCCAACAAGGAGCAGGGCAUACGAAGCGAACAGAGAUAAUCAGGUGUUUUUCAUUGGCCACAUCCCCUUGCAAUACACAAAAAUUCAGCUGGUCAAGUUCCAAAUUGAACCCUGCGCUUGAAAACUGACCAAGGAAGUAUUUAAACUGAAAACUUCAAGGAACAGAGGAAGCAGUUAAAAAAAAACCAAAUUAGCUCGAAUCAGGUUCAGGUAAGAAUAAUGCAGGACUCCUAAUUCGACCCUAAUUUCGUUCCUUCAUUCUUUAACCAUCAUAUUUUUAAUCCUUUCUGAUCCACUGGAUCAACUUUGUUUUCCCCUCUGCCUAUUCUUCUGCAUUAAGCACAGAUGCAGUAAUUAUGCAGCGAGAUUUUUCUUAAACUGAAAAAUGGGAUGAUUAAAUUGUGUGUAUGAAGAGAAGAAAAAUGAUCCCAAUGGAACUAAAAAAGUUAAGCACAGGUAAAAGCUGCCAGUGCCCAAUGGCACAUCCAGUCCCUUGGCCAUGCUGUUGGCCAAGGCUGGGGUGCUCUGUCAUCCAUCUCAGCUCCAGCAGGAUUUCAGAUAGUGACAGGGACACAAGCAUUUAUAUCUGCUGUCAUUGUUGCUUGGCAGUAAAAAUAUAUUCCUCUUAGGCUGUCCAGACAUUUCAGUUUCUCUUAGGACCCAGUUUGAAAAAAACAAAAAAUGAAAGAAACUGAUUAUUCCACUGUGGAUAGGAAUAUGGAGGAGGUCACCAUAUGCGUAGGAUAAAUAUCCUCCUGUUGCAAAUUUGUAUCAGUCAGUCACCAUCAUCUGCUCUGUGGGAUAAAAAUGUCUCAGAUAUUCUGCACUCAAACAUCAGAAUUGCCCAUCUCAUUUACGGUGCUUACUGCUGUUCAGCAGGAUCAGCCAUGAAGAUUAAGGUGAUUUUUUUGCUCAGCCAAUUGCCCUUUCCUUCCUUUUCUUUUUUUAUUUUCAUUGAACCUUCACCUCUCCCUUUCCCCAAUGUCUCUGAAGAGACAAGGACAAAGUCAGGAGAUUUGCAAAGGAACUGAUUGUGCUCAUAUAGAAAAUCAGAUCAUUCUGCAGAACUUUCAGCAGAUCCUCUCCAAUACUGCUCUUAUACCUGUCUUUCAUUGAUUUUGUUAUACAGUAUCAAAAGGACACUGUAGACUCACAUCUGAAUGUAGUGCCAGUGCACUGAACAAAAAGUCACUCUGUCCCAAGGGAGAGGAAAAGGAAUGGGCAAAGAGGAGCAAAGAGAGAAAGGGAGAGCAGCACAGGGAAGAAAAGAAAGGCCAAGCAAUAGCUGGAAAGAACAAAUCCUUUCUUUUUGCUCUGUGCACCUUCUUUCUUUCCCACACUCAAGUCCCCCCUGUCCCCUUUCCUGGCUCCUGGGAUAAUGUGGUCUGCAGUCUGAUGGCUUUAAACUGAAACCCAGUCCAAACCUGACUUUUCAGUUUCUAGAGCUCUGGAAGGGCACAGGCAGGAGGUAAGAGCAUCCCUGAGGAAGCUCCUCCGGCAGAGCUGCUGCAGCAGCAAAGCUAUUAAUAAAUGUUUGCAAUCUUUUAAUCGCUCUUCUAAAUUGCCAUCGUGUUCCUGCAAACCCCAUAGUGUGUCAGUGCAGCUGCCUCCUCCCGCCUGCCUCCCCGUGUUCGUGCAUGUGAGUGAGGGGGAACAUCAGGAACAUGCUCAGAUCCGAGGGCUGCUGCAGCCUUAGAGGGAAAUGAUUUUGACAAGUGACUUUUUAAAUCUUCCUUAUUCCAGAGGAAGCGGCCCUAUUACUUGCAUUUAUAAACCAUAUUUUCACCUGGUUCGCCUUCUCCAGCAAAUCCCGCCUGCUCGAUCAAGACACUAAACUUUUUUUCAUUAAAAUAUCACAUCUGAUCUGUCAUGGCUUGGGACCUGCCACCCGAGAGGCCACGUCUCUUGUGAUGUGAUAGCACUGCAGGCACAGUCACCUAGCAGUCACUCUGGCUUAGACAAAGACAUUCCCAGCCACAGAACGUUUCUGUCCACUUUAUGAGACCCACUAUGGAGCUGACAGUCACCAGGGGUACAACACAAACAUAUAUUGCUUUUCAGGCGUUUCUAAAGGGUCAAGUAGUCAGGACAUAAGUGGACUGGAAAGCUGUGAUCCUAUUUAAGGCAAGAGAUAACAUUUCAGGAUGAAAAGGAUUAAUACUUUCAAAUAAAUUGUCUAUUUGCCUCUUUAUGUUUCUAAAGUGUAUCCAUUAUUGUCCAAACUAGGAUAUUACAGACAAAGCCACCUUCUAACGUCAUGGUGGAGAUCAGCUUAAUCCUUUCUCUGUUCCCUCCCCCAGCUCAAACUCUCAUCUUCAUCCUAAUUAUAAUAGCAUUUGAAAUUAUCAUGGUUUAAAAAAAGAUGCCAGCUUAUAUAAUAUUCUUAUUGCUUAUUAAUGAUUUCAGAAGGGAGAGCAAGUUGCCUUGCAUUCUGGGAAUUAUGCAAACCAGGGCUGAGCCAUACCUUGUUGGACUCCACCAGUUUCUUAUUUGGAAGCCUGAUGCGUGAGGAUUACCGUGUAAUAACAGAUGUUAAGGCUUUUAGUGAAUGACAGGCCUGCUGCACACACCAGAACAAGAAGACAUGACAGGCGUCACAUUUCACAGUGAUUAGCCUGGGGCACUUUUCAGAGGCUGAAGACUCGAGGCGAAGUGACUUUAACGGCCCAGCGAGUGUGAUAAUCCCCCAGCACAGCCCGAAGAGUUUGACUGCUGUUCAGGAUGGGAGCUUAUGAACAGUGAUACAGAAAACAGCAGACUGGAUAUCAGGGACACGGUUACACGGCACUGACAGCCACAAAGACAGUCUGCUGGGAUAGGAAGUUAUUAAGUCCAUUACUUAAUCUAAAGUUGCUUAUACCCUGUCCUCAAGACAUCACCUCCUCCAUGCAGCUGUAACGUGUGAGAGGCACUAAAGAACUGAACUGGAGAUUUAGUACAAGUCCUUCAGCUUCCUGUGCUUGUCACUGUGGUGAACAUGGGGUGGAGUAGGAGGGAACGUGAAUGGGAGCAGGAGCUCUGUAUCCAUGUUAUAAACUGCUGCAGUUUUAUUAAAAAACGAGCUUCAAUAUGAGAUGA